Molecule: non-coding RNA, 224 nt
Submitted as: unclassified sequences
Source: Rfam
AUAUGCCAGACAGAGUAGAAAAAUCGAAAUCAGUGCCAGAGUGGAAGGAAGGAGCAAAUAACCCUCGCCGUCAAGGCGUAAAUAAGAGCCCAGACGCUACCGGGAGGACGCUGCUUGCAGGGCGCGGAGUUUGCGCGAGUUCUCCGCGUUUCAUACCCGUUGUACUAUGCGGCUAAUUAAACGCAUGACAGCCGUGCUGGGUAAUAACAAAGGAAUGAGUUAAA